This 923-nucleotide long non-coding RNA is filed under the name Sorghum bicolor (sorghum). Its description in RNAcentral is "long non-coding RNA (SBIC_LNC017037)". Lineage: Eukaryota; Viridiplantae; Streptophyta; Magnoliopsida; Poales; Poaceae. The record is from RNAcentral.
CAAUUGGCACCUUCCUCUGGUGAGGAGGCCAUGAUAUUGUGUAGUGAGCUGCCCAGCCAGGAGGUGAAGGAGGCUCCAAGCAGUGAACCUUUGGGGUAUAAUGAAAAUGUGAAAACAGAAAAUGAUUCUUCUUCUCAAGAACCAGUCAAUGAGGAAUCUGCUCCUGGUGCUGAAAAUGCAAAGAUUGAUGAAGCUGACACAGAACAGCAACUGCCUCCUGGGCAGCAGGUGAAGGAGGCUCCAAGCAACCCUUUGGGGAAUAAUGAAAAUGUGAAAAUGGAAAAUGAAGCUUCUGCUCAGGGACCAGUAAAUGAGGAAUCUGCUCCUCGUGCUGAAAAUGUAAAGAUUGAUGAAGCUGACACAGAACAACUGCCUCCAUCUGGUGAGGCCAUGGUAGACAUAUCUAGCGAGCUACUCAGCCAUGACGAAAAGGUGGCUCCAAGCACAGUCCCUUUAGGAAAUGAUGAAGAUGCACAUAUGGAAGAGGCUUCUGCUGCACAGAGAGAGCUAAGCACUGAAGUUGCUCAUGGUAGUGAAAAUGCGAAACUUAGUGAAGCUGGCACGUCUGGUGAGGCCAUGGUAGACGUAUCUAGCGAGCUACUCAGCCAAGAUGAAAAGGUGGCUCCAAGCACUGGCCCUCUAGGAAAUGAUGAAGAUGCACAGAUGGAAGAGGCUGCUGCUGCACAGAGAGAGCUAAGCACUGAAGUUGAUCAUGGUAGUGAAAAUGUGAAACUUGGUGAAGCUGGCACGGAGCUGCAGUUGCCACCACCUUCAUCUGGUGAGGCACUGGUAGACAUAUCUAGGGAGCAACUCAGCCAAGAGGUGCAGGAGGUUGCAAGCUCUGGGCCCUCAGGAACUGAUGAAAAUACUGAGAUGGAACGGCUAAACACCAAACAUUCACCUGGUGGUGAAACCUCAAAACU